UACGGGGGGGGCAAGCGUUGUUCGGAAUUACUGGGCGUAAAGGGCUCGUAGGGGGCCAACUAAGUCAGACGUGAAAUCCCUCGGCUUAACCGGGGAACUGCGUCUGAUACUGGAUGGCUAGAGUUUGGGAGAGGGAUGCGGAAUUCCAGGUGUAGCGGUGAAAUGCGUAGAUAUCUGGAGGAACACCGGUGGCGAAGGCGGCAUCCUGGACCAACACUGACGCUGAGGAGCGAAAGCCAGGGGAGCAAACGGG
Molecule: ribosomal RNA, 253 nt
Filed under: uncultured bacterium
Lineage: Bacteria
Description: partial 16S ribosomal RNA
Rfam family: Bacterial small subunit ribosomal RNA
Source: RNAcentral